GUUCUUGAGGUGACGUCUGCCCCAGAGAAUAUGCUGACGAAGUGGGACUGUUCUUAAUGUUUCCUCAGAAUAGUGUGGGGGUGCCUCAGUUUCCCCUAGGCAGAUCAGACUCGCUGGGGAAGCGCACGGAGGGGCAGAGGAUGCUGGAUGCUCCGAGGUCAGACCCAGGAAGGUGGAAGCCCUGUGAGUUGUGUAUCCUGCAGACAGUCUGAUCCCAGAGAGGAGACUUCCCCAGAGUCUUGACUGGCUUCGUAGGGAGCAGUUCCAGAGCAUCGCCCGGGGACUCCGUGACAAGGCGACGUCUGCCACACAGAAUAUGCUCGGUCCUGGGGGUCGGCUGGCCUGCUAUGUAUGUUCCCAGCCAGCAAACGGUGCAGAGAUGAGCCUUGCUAGUCGCCGCUCCGCAGGCCAAAAGGAUGGGUGCAAAGUUACCGUCGGGAAUGCAUACCCCAGUUCCCUAGGGCUCCGUAGGGCAGACGAUUCGAGCAAUGGCUGAGCACUGCUGUCGGUGCAAAGGCAGGGAGCUAAGGACUUCGGACAGCUAGCCCCUUCGUACACCUGCUGUGUAGAGUAGAAGGAGUUGAUUAGUUCGAGUCGAGUCAACUUAAUCUGUUGCUGCACCUUGAAAUCCUAAUCUGCAGCACUGCCGACCCCAAGACCUCCAAAAUCCCGAGAUUGGCUUAAAAACCAUGAGAUUAUUAUUAUUAUUUUUUUAAAUACAUGGCUUUUAUGUUCUUG
Dermochelys coriacea (leatherback sea turtle) is the source of this 738-nucleotide long non-coding RNA. RefSeq lists it as uncharacterized. The record is from RefSeq and is a predicted model, not a curated record. The transcript has 2 exons. NCBI's taxonomy places the organism in Eukaryota, Metazoa, Chordata, Testudines, Dermochelyidae.